GGCCUCGGAGUUAGGGUUCCUAGCGAGCCCAACCUCCCACCCGUGUUUACUGUACCUUAGUUGCUUCGGCGGGCCCGCCAUUCAUGGCCGCCGGGGGCUCUCAGCCCCGGGCCCGCGCCCGCCGGAGACACCACGAACUCUGUCUGAUCUAGUGAAGUCUGAGUUGAUUGUAUCGCAAUCAGUUAAAACUUUCAACAAUGGAUCUCUUGGUUCCGGCAUCGAUGAAGAACGCAGCGAAAUGCGAUAACUAGUGUGAAUUGCAGAAUUCCGUGAAUCAUCGAGUCUUUGAACGCACAUUGCGCCCCCUGGUAUUCCGGGGGGCAUGCCUGUCCGAGCGUCAUUGCUGCCCAUCAAGCACGGCUUGUGUGUUGGGUCGUCGUCCCCUCUCCGGGGGGGACGGGCCCCAAAGGCAGCGGCGGCACCGCGUCCGAUCCUCGAGCGUAUGGGGCUUUGUCACCCGCUCUGUAGGCCCGGCCGGCGCUUGCCGAACGCAAAUCAAUCUUUUUCCAGGUUGACCUCGGAUCAGGUAGGGAUACCCGCUGAACUUAAGCAUAUCAAUAAGCGGAGGAA
This 570-nucleotide ribosomal RNA is filed under the name Aspergillus flavus. RNAcentral describes it as "eukaryotic LSU rRNA". The stretch from base 187 to 340 matches the Rfam family "5.8S ribosomal RNA". The record is from RNAcentral. Lineage: Eukaryota; Fungi; Ascomycota; Eurotiomycetes; Eurotiales; Aspergillaceae.